GACGAACGCUGGCGGCGUGCUUAACACAUGCGAGUCGAACGGAAAGGCCCCUUUGGGGGUACUCGAGUGGCGAACGGGUGAGUAACACGUGAGUAACCUGCCCUUGACUUCGGGAUAACUUCAGGAAACUGGGGCUAAUACCGGAUAGGAAUCCUUGCUGCAUGGUGGGGGUUGGAAAGCUUCGGCGGUUUUGGAUGGACUCGCGGCUUAUCAGCUUGUUGGUGGGGUAGUGGCUUACCAAGGCUUUGACGGGUAGCCGGCCUGAGAGGGCGACCGGCCACAUUGGGACUGAGAUACGGCCCAGACUCCUACGGGAGGCAGCAGUGGGGAAUAUUGCACAAUGGGCGGAAGCCUGAUGCAGCAACGCCGCGUGCGGGAUGACGGCCUUCGGGUUGUAAACCGCUUUCAGCAGGGGCGAAGCUUUUGUGACGGUACCUGCAGAAGAAGCACCGGCUAACUACGUG
Molecule: ribosomal RNA, 464 nt
Filed under: uncultured bacterium
Lineage: Bacteria
Description: partial 16S ribosomal RNA
Rfam family: Bacterial small subunit ribosomal RNA
Source: RNAcentral